GCUCUGUCACCCAGAUCGGAGUGCACUGGCAUGAUCACGACUCACUGCAGCCUUGAACUCCUGGGUUCAAGCAAUCCUCCAACCUCAGCCUCCCAAGUAGCUGGAACCACAGUUUUAAAGAACAAUGAAAACCUCCCAGAUUGACGCCACACACUAAUCACGGUUCUGAAUGAGACUUCAAAUGAUAUGGUAGAUGGAACACUACGUUCGUGAUGAAAGGCCUUUCUGACUUGCAUUCUGACUUAAUGAAUUUCUAGCUUUGUGACCUUGGACAGGUGACUUAUCCUUGAACCUGCUUGCUCUUAUGUAAAAGAGGGAUAAUAAUUGUCAUAUCUUCUUUGUCUUCCUGUCUGGGUUGUGGUCAGAAUAAUAUAAGAAAGUAAUUUGUACUUUGUACAAAUUUGUACAAGGUACAGUUUGUACAAAUAAUAAUUUGUACAAAUAAUUUGAAAGUAAUUUGUACUUUGUACAAAUUUGUACAAAGUACAAUUUGUGCAAAUAAUUUGUACAAAUAAUUUGUACAAAUAAAGCACCUUGCAAUCAUAAGGUAACAGCAGUAAGUAUCAGCAAUUAAAAUUUCAUACACUAGCUGGAUGCGGGGGCUCACGCCUACAAUCCCAGCACCUGGGGAGGCCAAGGCAGGUGGAUCACCUGAGGUCAGGAGUUCGAGACCUGCCUGGCCAACAUGGUGAAACCCCAUCUCUACUAAAGAAAAAAAUACAAAAAUUAGCUGAGCAUGGUGGCGCGCUGCUGUAAUCCCAGCUACUCGGGAGACUGAGGCCAAAGAAUCUCUUGAACUCGGGAGGUGGAGGUUGCAGUGAGCUGAGAUUGCACCACUGUACUCUGGCCUGGGUGACAGAGCGAGACUCUGUUUCAAAAAAUAAUAAUAAUAAUAAUUAAAAUUUCAUAUACUACAAUAGGGUGAAUGAAAUUGUUCCUGUUAUUUAUAUAACUUCUAACACUUAGCUUGCUAUCUUCAGCUUUUCCCUUGUCUUAUCUAAUGGUUUAUGAGGCAUUUACUCUUUUUCCAUUUCCAUCUGCUCUUAUGGUUGAAAGGCUAAAACUGACAACUUUCAGAUGUAUCACAGAGACAUAUCAAAAGAAUUCCAACAUGAAAGGUAUUGGGUUCAUGUGCAGAAGUAGUGAAUAAAUAAGCAGGGUUGGGUGAGGUUAAGAGAGUGCCACAUGAUCUAUGUGGUAAUAAAUAGGUGAAGUGCCCAGGAGAGAGAGAUGAGCAGAAGAGACCUCUCCAGUAGUAGACAUUGAAGAGGAGGAUUUUAGAAUUCGUCUCUUAAGACAUUCACUGCCAAGUUCCAACAGAACAUCAUGGACAAAACAUAUCUAAAUGAGAAGGAAACUUUGGGACAUUGAGGAUGGCUUGGAGUGGAAAUGACCUGGAAGGUUGCAGUGAUCCCAGGCAGGAGAGGACAAUGGCCGUGUCUGCAGUGGUACAGUCUGAGGGGGAAGGUUGCCGACUGACGUGUGGGGAACUGGGAGUGUGGCACUGGAGAAGACCAGUUGGAAAAUUGAUUGUCCUGGCUGUGACAGCUGAACCAUGAGGACUGUCUAAGAGCACUGAAACUGGGGAGAAAAGAAAGUAGCCUGGACAUGGUAAUGCUUAAAUGAAUACUUACAUGUGAUACCGUAAUUAUCAACAGAUUUAAAAUCUGUUGAAUAUACUGUUCAAGUUUAAAUCUGUUGAAUAUACUGUUCAAGUUUAUAGAAGCAAGAAACUUCCCCCCAUAUUUGUACUGUAUUAAUCUUUU
Molecule: long non-coding RNA, 1766 nt
Filed under: Homo sapiens (human)
Lineage: Eukaryota; Metazoa; Chordata; Mammalia; Primates; Hominidae
Description: non-protein coding lnc-HMGA2-1:1
Source: RNAcentral